GUGAGAGUGCUGUGUGUGAGAGUGUUGUGUGUUGUGAGUGCUGGGUGUGAUAGUGCUGUGUGUGAUGUGUGUGAGAGUGCUAUGAUGUGUGUGAGAGUGCUGCGUGUGAUGUGUGUGAGAGUGCUGGGUGUGAGAGUGCUGGGUGUGAUGUGUGUGAGAGUGUUGUGUGAGUGCUGAGAAUGCUGAGUGUGAUAGUGCUGUGUAUAAAUGUUGUGUGUUGGGG
Non-coding RNA from Pelobates cultripes (western spadefoot toad), 223 nucleotides. NCBI's taxonomy places the organism in Eukaryota, Metazoa, Chordata, Amphibia, Anura, Pelobatidae. The record is from the annotation of a GenBank genome assembly.